Long non-coding RNA from Vespa crabro (European hornet), 1991 nucleotides. RefSeq lists it as uncharacterized. The transcript is spliced from 3 exons. Lineage: Eukaryota; Metazoa; Arthropoda; Insecta; Hymenoptera; Vespidae. The record is from RefSeq and is a predicted model, not a curated record.
UCGUUCGAGAGAGGAAGUGGACGACGGGUGGAGGGUCGAGGGACAAGUUAAAGUAUUAAGUAGCCGUCGCUGCGUCCGCUGUCAGUCUCCGCUCUAAUUAAUUGUAAUUGACGGCCGCGCGAAGCCUCGCACAUUGCUCGCACUGUCCUCCCUCUACAUCUCCUCUACCACCUUCUACUCGUUGAGCACCAUGUCGUACUGCAUAAUCGUCCCUAGGAGAUCUUCUCUCUCUCUCUCUCUCUCUCUCAAUCUCUCCCUCCCCCUCUCCCUCAAUAUUUAAAAAUCUUUCCUAGAUCAUCAAGAAGAGAAAAAAAAGAAACUUCAUUGAUAUCGAUAUUCUUAUUAAUUUGAUCGAUCAAUAUCUUUUUAGGAUUACUUUGAAUACUCAAUGGAAGAUCCCUCGAAGAAAUUAUAAAGAGGAGGCAAAAUCGAUGGCAAAAAAGAAGCAAAUGAUGUAACUGGUCGCCCAAUUUGCAUGAUUAGCACUGGCCCUCUUUUUUCUCCGCUUCGGUUAGCCGGUUCGCAUCAACGGGCCACGCGCUAGAUACUUGGAUUCUCACGGGUUAUACACAAGCGAUUUAUCGAUUGGAUAUGUAAGAGAAUGUAUGUUGACGAUAAGAAAAAGAGAGAGAGGAAAAAAAAAGGAGGAAAACAAGAGAAAGAACCAGCUAGAAAAAUGAAUGUACGAGAAUGCUUGUAAUUCUAUAAGUCUAGGAAACACUAGGUAAAUGUGUAACAAACGUGGAUUUCUUUCGGAGACGGUUGUUUCCCAACGUCAAAGGAACUUGGGAAAAAAAAUUCGAGGCGAGGUGUAUGGGAAAGGGAGGAGAGUGAGUUGGACCACGUGGAGUACGAUUUCAGUGGUUGACACGCACGCGAUAUGGCGCCUGGCGAUGCACACAGCAUUAAUAGCACCUGCAAGUACAAACGUACUGUAAAAACAUGUACCUGCAUAGAUGACUCUUUCUCUCUCUCUCUCUCUCUCUCUCUCUCUCUCUCUCUCUCUCUCUUUCUCUCUUUCUUUCCCACAUACACAGUCAUUUGCAUUCUUCAACGUGCCUAUGGGACAGAGUAUUUUUUGCGAGUUUCGUGGAUGUGCACGUAUAAUGCAUGCAAUCCGGACACAUAGAAAAAAAUAUACACAGAAACGAGCAUGAGCCCGCGCGCGGGUGUAUGUAUUGGUAUAUGUAUGCGCGACCGACGAAACGGAGCUUCAACGUAAUGAUAUGGUUUUCGGUUUCUGUAUUGAAAUACGAUUCUCAGUGGGGUAGGUCACGCCGCACUGCUAACACCCAGAAUGUGUUUGUACUUACGAACGUAUAAAUACACGUAAUACAUAUAACAUAAAUACAGCUUGCUGAUGUAUAAAUGUUGUAAUUUAUCCAUAGAAGAAUAAUGUCCUUCGAUUUUUAUUCGGUUUCUUAUUAAAAUGGAAAAUCCUUAUGAGAUCGAAAAGCUUCUAUCCGUUUGUAUAUCUAAUAUGGACGUGAUUGGAUAAUAAUCAUUUCUAUUAUUUUUCAAAAAAUUGUAAAGAAAGUAUUUUGAUGUUAAUAGUAUCGGAUUUUAAAGAAUAUUAAUAAAUGGAAUUAUUCCGUAACUAAUAUAAAAAUUAAUAGUCGAGAAAAUUGUCUAUUAUGAAGAAAAAUAUCCCGCUUAAUAUUAGCAUACUUACAAAUAGUUUAAUCUAUAUUCAUGGAUCAGGUGGUAAGUGCCAUCAUCACGUUACAAAGUUGUCCUUUCGACGGUUACGAGGCAAUGAGUACCGGUGCACCGCUUUAAUUCUUGUCUAGGAUUACGAACACCCAACGAUCGACUCUCGAUAAUCACUCACCUGACACUUCGACUUAAGUGCUCCUUGUCCUUGUGUAUAUUUUCUUCCGUUCUUUUAAAGAUAUUUGUUUUCGUUCAAUUCAUUGCUGUUUCCUUUCUUUUUUUUUUUUUUUCAAAUUAUGAUAAUAAAAGCUAUCACUUUUAUACGAGAUACAUAAGUA